Molecule: unclassified non-coding RNA, 729 nt
Filed under: Cardiocephaloides medioconiger
Lineage: Eukaryota; Metazoa; Platyhelminthes; Trematoda; Diplostomida; Strigeidae
Description: partial external transcribed spacer
Source: RNAcentral
AGGGGGUAUACCCCAAAUCGACCCAAAAAGUCGAUUUUCUGAAAUGGUGCGUUUCGGCCUCAGAACACAUUGUUUGGCCUGUAGCACCUAUAAUUCACUAUAUUUCUCGCAUUUUGGCUUGGUAGAGCCCAGAUUUCGGAGCAUAUGGUCGACUAGGGGUCGGAGCCCAGGAAGGCCUUAGGGCCAUUACUGGUGCGGUCGGCUCAGGCCUAUGGCUCGGUUGUAUGGCUCGGCCUGACGGGACCUGGUUUUUCGAUUAUACGGCCUCACAAUUGGUCGUUUCGGGCUGCUGGGGCCCUGAUUUGACGGGUGUCGGGUGGGAUUUAUCCCUCUGCACUCGGGCUGCAUGCCUAUAUCGGCUUGAGGGCUAGCUUCGGCUGGUCAUUGGGUCUUUAUAUGGCCGUGUGGCUUUUCAUAUGUUAAGCCGACUGGCUUGUUCUGAUUGCUGGGCGUGUCACUCGUGGCUCGUCUAUGCUGUGCUUAUACGAUAUGCGUUAUAUUAACUGGUCGCGAGCUUGUACCCCACUGCGCCAAUAUUGCUGCUCCGCACGGGAAAGGGUUAGACCGUGUGGCUGCACAAUUACAUUGAUUCAAGAGGUGUCAAUACUAUGAGUUCGCACGGGAUGGGUACUACCGUGUGGACAAAGGUUGCCAAAUGUUUCGCUUCCACCAUUGGUGGUUGCGCGCGCUCCCAAUCUCUCGGGGUUGGGUUGCUUGAAAGAGUGAAUA